Paramuricea clavata is the source of this 1382-nucleotide non-coding RNA. The record is from the annotation of a GenBank genome assembly. Lineage: Eukaryota; Metazoa; Cnidaria; Anthozoa; Malacalcyonacea; Plexauridae.
CAUUGAACUAUAAAUAAACUGGAAGGCUAACUGCUAUGAUGAAGGCCUAUGAGUUGAUGAAGCCAAAAUAGUUUUUUUGAGUUAUGAGCUGAAAUACUUGGCCCCCAACGUCGGGCUAUAUAUCAAAUUGAAGCUAUUGAAAAUUGCUAUUCGGUGUGGAAAUUUCAAGACUUCAGCGAAAAGGAAAAUAUUUAAAAAAUACAAAAACAACUGCAAAACGGCAAAUUAUCGGUAAUUAUGUUUGUAGUUUUUCAAUAUUUCCCUUUUAGCUAAAGUCUUGAAAUUUCUACACCAAAUAGCGUUUUUCAAUAGCUUCAAUUUGAUAUAUAGCCCGACGUUCAGUGUUGAGUAUUUCUGCUCAUAACUCAGAAAAACUAAAAUGCACUGGCUUCAAUUUCCCCCCCUGAGUUAGCCUUCCAGUUUAUUUAUAGUUCAAUGGUUGCAUCCCUAGCAACGAAAAAGGUUUGUUGUUAUUACCAUAUUGGCCAAGGGCGGAUUUUCAUUUUUUUUUUUUUUAAAGGGGUGGAAAAGUUUCUAGUGGGGUGCAAGCGGCACCACUGAGCGAGCUUCGGCAGGGGUUAGGCGUUAGGGUUAAAGACUUUCACACAAAAUAGGAGGGGUGAAGCGAAAUUUUGGUGGGGUUGAACUCUUUAUAAGAGGGGUUAGAGACAUUCUAGGGGGGGGGGGUUAGUAUCAAAGGUCUUAGUAUCCAGUCGGGAUACAAGUCAUCGACAGUUUGGUAUCCAUAACCAAAUUUUUGGUAUCCCAUGGAUAUCGGGAUGCUGCAAAUUUCAGACCCUGGUUGGUUCUAUCCAGAGAGAUGCACAAAAAUCUCGAUAUUUAUACAUUAUUUUAAGGCUAUUUUAGCAUUUAUGCAAAGGCAUAUUCGCAACUUUGGUUAUUCACAAGGUCGCUCAAUAAUACGAGUAACAAGGGAAUAACUCGCAUACAUAACAUACAAUAAUUCUAAUGCAAUUCUAAUUCACUUUGCUUCGAACGAUAGUGACGAGACAUGUGAGUUGUCCGAAGUUUUGAAUGCCAACGUUACUGUUAUAAGAAUAGCAACUAAUUAAAAUAAUCCAAGUAUUUAUGAUUUUGUGUUGGAUUAUAUAAUAAAGCUUAUUGCAUUCGCUAAUUCGAUCACGUGAUUUGGUCAUGUACACACGUAAAAACGCACAAGUUGUAAAAAAAAACUGCAGCAGACUUGUAGCAAUGCUGCAUGUGUUCAUCAGGAUGUGUUCGCACUGCUUGUUCCCAGCUUGUUGGCAAGUUGUCAUCGACUUGUUGAUAACUUGCAACAAGGUUGUUGAGCUCAACAGACUUGUUACAAGUCGUUCCAACAACUUGUUAUCGUCCUGCAACUCGACGAUUUUUUAACAAGU